RNAcentral lists this transfer RNA (87 nucleotides) under Legionella sp. RNAcentral's name for it is "tRNA-Thr". It matches the Rfam family "tRNA". From Rfam's summary of the family: Transfer RNA (tRNA) molecules are approximately 80 nucleotides in length. Lineage: Bacteria; Pseudomonadati; Pseudomonadota; Gammaproteobacteria; Legionellales; Legionellaceae. The record is from RNAcentral.
GCUGGAUUGGCUGAGUGGCCGAAAGCAACGGUUUUGUAAGCCGUAGGGGCAACCCCAUCGCAGGUUCGACUCCUGUGUCCAGCUCCA